Molecule: ribosomal RNA, 453 nt
Filed under: uncultured bacterium
Lineage: Bacteria
Description: bacterial SSU rRNA
Rfam family: Bacterial small subunit ribosomal RNA
Source: RNAcentral
AACGAACGCUGGCGGCAGGCCUAACACAUGCAAGUCGAACGCGUCCUUCGGGACGAGUGGCAGACGGGUGAGUAACGCGUGGGAACGUACCCUUUGGUUCGGAACAACAGCGGGAAACUGCUGCUAAUACCGGAUAAGCCCUUCGGGGGAAAGAUUUAUCGCCAGAGGAUCGGCCCGCGUUAGAUUAGCUUGUUGGUGAGGUAAUGGCUCACCAAGGCUACGAUCUAUAGCUGGUCUGAGAGGAUGAUCAGCCACACUGGGACUGAGACACGGCCCAGACUCUUACGGGAGGCAGCAGUGGGGAAUCUUGGACAAUGGGCGAAAGCCUGAUCCAGCCAUGCCGCGUGAAUGAUGAAGGCCCUAGGGGUUUGUAAAAAUUCUUUCGACGGGGAAGAUAAUGACGGUACCCGUAGAAGAAGCUCCGGCUAACUUCGUGCCAGCAGCCGCGGUAAU